UACGUAGGGGGCAAGCGUUGUCCGGAAUCAUUGGGCGUAAAGCGCGUGUAGGCGGUCCGGUAAGUCCGCUGUGAAAGUCGGGGGCUCAACCCUCGGAUGCCGGUGGAUACUGUCGGGCUUGAGUACGGAAGAGGCGAGUGGAAUUCCCGGUGUAGCGGUGAAAUGCGCAGAUAUCAGGAGGAACACCAAUUGCGAAGGCAGCUCGCUGGGACGUUACUGACGCUGAGACGCGAAAGCGUGGGGAGCAAACAGG
This 253-nucleotide ribosomal RNA is filed under the name uncultured bacterium. RNAcentral's name for it is "partial 16S ribosomal RNA". It matches the Rfam family "Bacterial small subunit ribosomal RNA", at positions 524 to 776 of the family's 1533-position model. The record is from RNAcentral.